GGGGUUGUGGCUCAGUGGCAGAGUGCUUGCCUAGCAAGUGUGAGGCACUGAGUUCAAUCCUCAGCAACACAU
Molecule: transfer RNA, 72 nt
Filed under: Ictidomys tridecemlineatus (thirteen-lined ground squirrel)
Lineage: Eukaryota; Metazoa; Chordata; Mammalia; Rodentia; Sciuridae
Description: Spermophilus tridecemlineatus (thirteen-lined ground squirrel) tRNA
Rfam family: tRNA
About the family: Transfer RNA (tRNA) molecules are approximately 80 nucleotides in length. Their secondary structure includes four short double-helical elements and three loops (D, anti-codon, and T loops).
Source: Rfam by way of RNAcentral